GACGAACGCUGGCGGCGUGCCUAAUACAUGCAAGUAGAACGCUGAAGAGAGGAGCUUGCUCUUCUUGGAUGAGUUGCGAACGGGUGAGUAACGCGUAGGUAACCUGCCUUGUAGCGGGGGAUAACUAUUGGAAACGAUAGCUAAUACCGCAUAACAAUGGAUGACCCAUGUCAUUUAUUUGAAAGGGGCAAAUGCUCCACUACAAGAUGGACCUGCGUUGUAUUAGCUAGUAGGUGAGGUAACGGCUCACCUAGGCGACGAUACAUAGCCGACCUGAGAGGGUGAUCGGCCACACUGGGACUGAGACACGGCCCAGACUCCUACGGGGGGCAGCAGUAGGGAAUCUUCGGCAAUGGGGGCAACCCUGACCGAGCAACGCCGCGUGAGUGAAGAAGGUUUUCGGAUCGUAAAGCUCUGUUGUAAGUCAAGAACGAGUGUGAGAGUGGAAAGUUCACACUGUGACGGUAGCUUACCAGAAAGGGACGGCUAACUACGUG
Molecule: ribosomal RNA, 497 nt
Filed under: uncultured bacterium
Lineage: Bacteria
Description: partial 16S ribosomal RNA
Rfam family: Bacterial small subunit ribosomal RNA
Source: RNAcentral